GACGAACGCUGGCGGCGUGCUUAACACAUGCAAGUCGAACGGAAAGGCCCUGCUUUUGUGGGGUGCUCGAGUGGCGAACGGGUGAGUAACACGUGAGUAACCUGCCCUUGACUUUGGGAUAACUUCAGGAAACUGGGGCUAAUACCGGAUAAGAGCUCCUGCUGCAUGGUGGGGGUUGGAAAGUUUCGGCGGUUGGGGAUGGACUCCCGGCUUAUCAGCUUGUUGGUGGGGUAGUGGCUUACCAAGGCUUUGACGGGUAGCCGGCCUGGGUGGGUGACCGGCCACAUUGGGACUGAGAUACGGCCCAGACUCCUACGGGAGGCAGCAGUGGGGAAAAUUGCACAAUGGGCGGAAGCCUGAUGCAGCAACGCCGCGUGCGGGAUGACGGCCUUCGGGUGGUAAACCGCUUUCGCCUGUGACGAAGCGUGAGUGACGGUAAUGAGUAAAGAAGCACCGGCUAACUACGUG
RNAcentral lists this ribosomal RNA (468 nucleotides) under uncultured bacterium. Its description in RNAcentral is "partial 16S ribosomal RNA". It matches the Rfam family "Bacterial small subunit ribosomal RNA", at positions 28 to 507 of the family's 1533-position model. The record is from RNAcentral.